This 253-nucleotide ribosomal RNA is filed under the name uncultured archaeon. Its description in RNAcentral is "partial 16S ribosomal RNA". It matches the Rfam family "Archaeal small subunit ribosomal RNA", at positions 474 to 725 of the family's 1478-position model. The record is from RNAcentral.
UACGGAGGGUGCAAGCGUUAUCCGGAUUUAUUGGGUCUAAAACAUCCGUAGCUUGUUUAGUAAGUCUCUUGUGAAAUCUUGUCUCUUAAGGGCAAGGCGCGCAAGAGGUACUACUAGGCUAGAGAUCGGCAGGUGCGAGAAGUACGUUCAAGGUAGUGGUUAAAUACGUUAAUCUUGGAUGGACUCACAAUUAGCGAAGGCAUCUCGCAAGGACGAAUCUGACAGUGAGGGAUGAAGGCCAAGGGCGCGAAAG